This 253-nucleotide ribosomal RNA is filed under the name uncultured Helicobacteraceae bacterium. RNAcentral describes it as "partial 16S ribosomal RNA". It matches the Rfam family "Bacterial small subunit ribosomal RNA", at positions 524 to 776 of the family's 1533-position model. Lineage: Bacteria; Pseudomonadati; Campylobacterota; Epsilonproteobacteria; Campylobacterales; Helicobacteraceae. The record is from RNAcentral.
UACGGAGGGUGCAAGCGUUACUCGGAAUCACUGGGCGUAAAGAGCGCGUAGGCGGGAUAGCAAGUCAGAUGUGAAAUCCUAUGGCUUAACCAUAGAACUGCAUUUGAAACUGUUAUUCUAGAGUAUGGGAGAGGUAGGUGGAAUUCUUGGUGUAGGGGUAAAAUCCGUAGAGAUCAAGAGGAAUACUCAUUGCGAAGGCGGCCACCUGGACCGGUAUUGACGCUGAGGCGCGAAAGCGUGGGUAUCGAACAGG